RNAcentral lists this ribosomal RNA (400 nucleotides) under uncultured bacterium. RNAcentral's name for it is "bacterial SSU rRNA". It matches the Rfam family "Bacterial small subunit ribosomal RNA", at positions 355 to 770 of the family's 1533-position model. The record is from RNAcentral.
UAAGGAAUCUUCCACAAUGGGGGCAACCCUGAUGGAGCAACGCCGCGUGAAGGAUGAAGGCCCUAGGGUCGUAAACUUCUUUUGUUAGUGAGGAAUAUGACAGUAACUAACGAAUAAGGGUCGGCUAACUACGUGCCAGCAGCCGCGGUCAUACGUAGGACCCAAGCGUUAUCCGGAGUGACUGGGCGUAAAGAGUUGCGUAGGCGGUUAUAUAAGCGAGUAGUGAAACCUGGUGGCUCAACCAUACAGUCUAUUACUCGAACUGUGUAACUUGAGAAUGGUAGAGGUGAUUGGAAUUUCUAGUGUAGGGGUAAUAUCCGUAGAUAUUAGAAGGAACACCAAUGGCGUAGGCAGAUCACUGGACCAUUUCUGACGCUGAGGCACGAAAGCGUGGGGAGCG